Molecule: non-coding RNA, 602 nt
Organism: Xenopus laevis (African clawed frog)
Lineage: Eukaryota; Metazoa; Chordata; Amphibia; Anura; Pipidae
Source: the annotation of a RefSeq genome assembly
UGUUGCUUUGCAUACACAAAGUGUGUGGUGAGUUCCCUGUAGAUAUAAGAUGCUAUAAAUGUUCUAUUUCCUAUGUGACGUCUCAGUGAUCUGCACCUGACACUGCUCCUACUGUCAGUAUGGGGAGAUACUUACUGCUUGUCCUCUCCGCUCUCUUUUCUCUCUCUGUUCCAGAUUCCUAUGGGCAGAUUGUACUGACUCAGUCUCCAGAUUAUGUCUCUGUGUCACCAGGAGAAACUGUCACCCUCACAUGUAAAGCCAGUAGCAGUGUUGGCAACUUGUUAGCCUGGUACCAACAGAAAUCAGGGCAGGCACCAAAGCCGCUGAUUUAUAAUGCAGGUACUCGAUACACAGGGACCCCAGAGCGGAUCAGCGGCAGUGGGUCUGGAACUGAUUACUCUCUUACAAUCAGCAGAAUGGAAGCAGAAGAUGCAGCAGAUUAUUACUGUCAGCAGGGUAGGAGCUUCCCUCUCACACAGUGAUACAGAGCUGAACAAAAACCUCCCUGUUACUGUGCCAGUGAGUUAUUUACAUGAUACUCUAUAAAGCUACAGAGCAUGACAUGAUAUUCUCAGUAGGGGAAGACUAUACAAUUGUAUACA